CAGUGGUAGAACACCACCUUGCCAAGGUGGGGGUCGCGGGUUCGAAUCCCGUCGUUCGCU
Molecule: transfer RNA, 60 nt
Filed under: Streptococcus pneumoniae GA47778
Lineage: Bacteria; Bacillati; Bacillota; Bacilli; Lactobacillales; Streptococcaceae
Description: partial tRNA-Gly
Rfam family: tRNA
About the family: Transfer RNA (tRNA) molecules are approximately 80 nucleotides in length. Their secondary structure includes four short double-helical elements and three loops (D, anti-codon, and T loops).
Source: RNAcentral